Non-coding RNA from Myotis lucifugus (little brown bat), 74 nucleotides. Lineage: Eukaryota; Metazoa; Chordata; Mammalia; Chiroptera; Vespertilionidae. The record is from Rfam.
GGUGGUUCUUGGGUGACCCACACCAGAAUCGGGCUCCCUCCUCUCUGUUCUGGGUGUGUCACCCGAGAACCGCA